Molecule: ribosomal RNA, 479 nt
Filed under: uncultured bacterium
Lineage: Bacteria
Description: partial 16S ribosomal RNA
Rfam family: Bacterial small subunit ribosomal RNA
Source: RNAcentral
GACGAAAGCUGGCGGCGUGCUUAACACAUGCAAGUCGAACGGUAAGGCCCUUCGGGGUACACGAGUGGCGAACGGGUGAGUAACACGUGGGUGAUCUGCCCUGCACUUCGGGAUAAGCCUGGGAAACUGGGUCUAAUACCGGAUAGGACCACUGCCUGCAUGGGUGGUGGUGGAAAGCUUUUGCGGUGUGGGAUGGGCCCGCGGCCUAUCGGCUUGUUGGUGGGGUGAUGGCCUACCAAGGCGACGACGGGUAGCCGGCCUGGAGAGGGUGACCGGCCACACUGGGACUGAGAUACGGCCCAGACUCCUACGGGAGGCAGCAGUGGGGAAUAUUGCACAAUGGGCGCAAGCCUGAUGCAGCGACGCCGCGUGAGGGAUGACGGCCUUCGGGUUGUAAACCUCUUUCAGCACCGACGAAGCGCAAGUGACGGUAGGUGCAGAAGAAGGACCGGCCAACUACGUGCCAGCCGCCGCAGUAA